Molecule: ribosomal RNA, 322 nt
Filed under: uncultured eukaryote
Lineage: Eukaryota
Description: partial 18S ribosomal RNA
Rfam family: Eukaryotic small subunit ribosomal RNA
Source: RNAcentral
CCCUUAGAUGUUCUGGGCCGCACGCGUGCUACACUGAGUGGAUCAGCGGGUCAGGUUGCGCGAAAGUGUUUCCUAAUCUUUAAAUCCGCUCGUGAUGGGGAUUGACGGUUGCAAUUUUCCGUCAUGAACGAGGAAUACCUUGUAAGCGCGGGUCAUCAUCCCGCGCUGAAUACGUCCCUGCCCUUUGUACACACCGCCCGUCGCUCCUACCGAUUGAGUGGUCCGGUGAGGCUUUGGGAUCUAAGCGAAAAGAGCGUUUCGCUCCUUUUGCUGGGAGAACUCAGUCGAACCUUAUCAUUUAGAGGAAGGAGAAGUCGUAACA